Molecule: transfer RNA, 72 nt
Filed under: Toxocara canis (dog roundworm)
Lineage: Eukaryota; Metazoa; Nematoda; Chromadorea; Rhabditida; Toxocaridae
Rfam family: tRNA
About the family: Transfer RNA (tRNA) molecules are approximately 80 nucleotides in length.
Source: Rfam by way of RNAcentral
CGGGCAGUAGCUCAGUGGUAGAGCUCCUGCUUUGGAUGCGGGAAGACCUAGGUUCGAUUUCCGGCUGCCUAC